This 273-nucleotide ribosomal RNA is filed under the name uncultured soil bacterium. Its description in RNAcentral is "partial 16S ribosomal RNA". It matches the Rfam family "Bacterial small subunit ribosomal RNA", at positions 26 to 282 of the family's 1533-position model. The record is from RNAcentral.
AGAAUCAACGCUGGCGGCGUGCCUCAGACAUGCAAGUCGAACGCGAAAGUCCCCUUCGGGGGAUGAGUAGAGUGGCGCACGGGUGAGUAACACGUAGGUAAUCUACCUUCGGAUGGGGAAUAACAAUCGGAAACGGUUGCUAAUACCGCAUAAUGCAGCGGCACCUAAUGGUGACAGUUGUUAAAGCGGGGGAUCGAAAGACCUCGCGUCUGAAGAGGAGCCUGCGGCGGAUUAGCUAGUUGGUAAGGUAAUGGCUUACCAAGGCUACGAUCC